CCGACCUUAGCUCAGUUGGAAGAGCACAAGACUGUAAUCGGUUACUUUACCAAGCCAUCUUGGGGUCGCCUGUUCGAACCAGGCAGGUCGGA
This is a non-coding RNA of Paramarasmius palmivorus, 92 nucleotides long. The record is from the annotation of a GenBank genome assembly. NCBI's taxonomy places the organism in Eukaryota, Fungi, Basidiomycota, Agaricomycetes, Agaricales, Marasmiaceae.